Molecule: non-coding RNA, 6198 nt
Organism: Equus caballus (horse)
Lineage: Eukaryota; Metazoa; Chordata; Mammalia; Perissodactyla; Equidae
Source: RefSeq, a predicted model, not a curated record
AGCUCAGGGCAAAUCUUCCUCAGCAAAAAGAAAAAAAGAAAGAAAAGAAAAGAAAAAAGAUAUAUUAUUCUUUUAGUGUGUUGCUAGAUUCUGUUCACUAAUCAUUUAUUUAGGUUUUUGCAAUCAUGUUCAAAAUACAGAUUCACCUGCAAUAUGUGUGUGUUUGUGUUUUCUCUUUGUCAAAUUACUGGAAUCAAGAAUAUAGUCUUCCUGAAAAUAAUUUUUAACUUUUCUUUUUAUUUAAAGUUAUGGAUCAGCUUAAAAAGCAUUGGAGUAAUCUUUUCCCUACAGGUUUGGUAAGCUUUCCCUGUGAAAAUGUCUGGAUCUGGUAUUUUUGGGGGGAUAAUAGGUUGACCAUUAUAACACCUGGUCUAUUUCAAUUUUCUGUCUUUUUUGAGAUCCAAUUUGGAAAUCUUGUAAUUUGUAUUUAUAUUUUGGCAAUUUUUCUAUAUAUUUUUUGGAAAGUCAUCCCUUCCAUCGAGAUAUUCAAAUUUAUUGGCUAGAAUUGAACAGAGUCGUCCCUUCUGAUGAGGUAUUUUGAAAAAGAUAUAAGAUGCUAUCAGGGAACACGACAGUCUGUGCCGUGGUACACCCUCUGUUGCAUCCUAGCCUUACUGUUUUUUGAAAAAAUGACUUUCCCUCACAUUUGCAGUGAGUUUGCUAAUUCUAUCAGCUUCAUUAUUACAAUGUCGAUCUAGAUUUGAAUCUCAAUUUUACUGUUUCUGAUCUACGUUUACAAUUCCUCUAUCCUGGGUGACUUCGUCCUUUAAAUGUUUGUAUCAAUGGCAGAUGCCUACCCUGCUUAGAUAAUGUUUCUCUAACGUAAGUCGAGUUAAUUCCUUAAUCUAAUGUAGCCUUUGCUCCUACUUAUACAAGCAUUUUGAUAUUCCUCUCCAUGUUUUCCUAGACUUUUCAUCAUGGGAGAGAAUUGCAAUUAAAAAAUUUUGAGGAAAACCAAUUUUCUCUAAAGUAAUAAAAACUAUUCUUAAAAAACUACUGGUAGAUUUAGCUACCAAGUCCCUGCAAGCAAGGUGACAGAGAAGAAUGGAAGGAUUAUGACUUACAGGAGGGCAAAGGACACCCCAAGCUUCCAGAGCGUUCCUUGUCCGCUGACCUGUUUAGAGACAGGAUGCCUAUCAUAGGGCUGGAUGUGAGAAUGACAUUCUUGCUCACGUUUGAAAGUUAUGAAGAGACGACCCUGCUGUGGAACCAACAGAGUAUAAACACUAAGCAAAUAAUACCAAUGUAUUUAAAUGAACUUUAGAAAGUUAAACCGACGUCCACGUAGUAAUAUUCUAAGUGGCUGUCACGAGUGGUUACCAGGAAUACACAAGAAAGGGCUCCUGGAAGUGAUAGCUGGCGUCUGAAUGGCAGGUCCAGGCAAUGUUGGGGUGUGGUUAGGAGAAGCCAUUUAAGGGACCUCAGCUGUGUCACCAUUAACUUCCUAGGGUGAGCUGGGAACUGACCUGUGCCCUGGGGAUAACACAGAUGAAAAAUAAACAGUUACAGCAGAAUGUAGUGUCUAUGGUCUGGCAUUAUCCACCUUCUGAGAAGGUGAAUUAGUUGAUCUUAAGGUCAGAGAAUGAAUGUGCUAGAUGACUAGACACAAAAGUGCGUGAGGUCAGGGGCAUAUAUUAACUCAUUCAAUCCCUAUAUGACUGUCAAGGAGACUGAGGCACAGAGAGGUUAAGAACAUUUUUAAGAUCACACAGCUAGUGAGGGAGAGCUGGGAUUUGAACCCACACUCCUGACAGCUUUAGCAAUCGCUCCCCUUGCCUUGCUACAAAGAUGAAGCGUGUAAAGGCAUAUGGUAUGUACUCAUUAAUUCUAACUGCCAUUCUUAUUACCUUGACCUUAAGAAGUAUUCCUUGAUGUAGACAGCCUGAAUUUUCUUCCUGAUUAUGAGAAUGAUCUUUCCAAAGGAAUUGAUUCUGCCUCCCAAAUACCUAUCCCUUCAGUUUGCCUAUUUCUAAGUCGUCAGGUAUUCAGGCUGCCGUCAUUUCUGACCAGGUUACUGCCGCAGCCUCUAAUUCCUCCUGCUUCCGCUGCUGCCCCUUCCCAUCCUUUAUCCACAGGGCAACCAGUCAUUUUGCUAAAAUGCCAACCUGAUUUCAUUUGUCUAAUUCCUCAAGUAUCAGCAGACAAUCAAAUGAUUAUGGAAUGAAUGAGUGAAUUAAACACAGGACUUCGUUGGCCGUCAGUCCCUCUGUUAGGUAAUGCUCAGAUAAACACUACCACAUUAGACUCUGUCUCAUCUUUUUCCAGCUUCCUUUGCUAAUGAUUCCCACUUUCAAGCAAUUAAUGCUUUCAAUAUUUCACUCAAUCCAUCAAGUGAUGUUGGGGGAUUUAAAAAGUAAAAUGAAGAAUAGUGUCAGUACUGUGGUUUAACUUGGUGAGGGAUAUUUAUACCCUUUAUUUUCAAAUUGCUCUCAAAUUUUAAGUAAAUGAUUAUGAUUAUCUCAUAUGGCUAGAUCUAAGCUAUAUUUUUUCUUUUAAUGUUGUUGCUUAUCUAACAUCAGUAACUUUCAGCAAACCCGUGUCUCUCACCACAACCACCAUUAUCACAUCUCUUAGCAUCGUCAUCAUGAGUCAGCCAUCGUGUGUUAAGGGAAAGCCUCCAGAUCUGACUCUGGAGCCCAUGCAGCUUGCCUAGAGCCCCUCCAUCCUACGUUAUGGACUAAACUGUGUCCCCCUCACUCCCCAAAUUCCUAUGUUGAAGCCCUUACCCCCCAGUGUGACGGUGUUUGGACAUCAGGCCUUCAGGGAGGCAGUAGGUUAAAUGAGGUCAUAAGGGUGGGCCCUAAUCUGAUAGGACUGUGCCCUUAGAAGAAGCAGCGACACCCGAGCUGUCGUCUCUCCUCGUGAGCACAGAGGAAAGGCCUUGUGGGGACCCAGGGAGAAGGGGCUAUCUACCAGCCAGAAGAGAAGCCGCCCCAGAGACCAAUCCCGGUGCCUUGGUCUGGGACUUCCAGCCCCCACAACUGUGAGAAAAUGAAUGUCUUCUGGUUCCCUUAAAACAUGAAGCGAUUUGCCUUCAGCACCAGUCUUAAGCCUAAGACAACUAUCAGUAAUGACCUCUCCUUAACAGUACAUUUGGCUUAUAAUUUUAUGACUUAGAGGGCAAAGGGAAAGUUCAUCAUAUGAGUAAGUUUCAAAGCAUAUGAAAUAUGUCUGUUUUUACCCAGGGAGGGAUUGAGAAGACAGGAAGUCACUGGGUGAAGAUGAAGGAGCUGAUGCUGGUUAAAUGGAAAAGAGAACAGAAAGUGAGGCCGGCGGCGUGGGGGAGGGGUGUCAGGACGCACUCGCCCUGCUUCAAGGCCUUGUCUCAGCCCACACACUUAAAGUUGCUGGAAGAUAAGCUAAUUAAAAUGGUGCAAUAAGUAUUUCCUAACCUUGGUCAAACAGGCACCUUAGCAAGUAUUGCAGUAACUGGUGGGAGAAGAAAAGAAGAAGUGGACACAUUUCAUUCAUUCUUCACUUUCUGCCUGGGUUUGGUGGGUGGUUUCCCCAGACCUGCACUCCUAGGGCCUUGACCCCAGGACGUUUGGGUGUCUGAGACCACCCACAGACCAGGGUGCUGUCUGGAUGGACAGUAAGGUGGGUUCCAAUUCAGUGUUUCAGGAUCAUCAUUCUCAACCCACCCUCAGUCCACUUUAACCUGCCUCCUAGCCUUAGGCCAUCUGUUGGUUCAGAUUUAAAAAACUUUAAACCACCACCUAAAGAGGUAUGAACACUGACUAGCUCCUAAAUACCCGUUUUCUUGUAAAGGCGAGGCAAUCGCGGCUUGUCAAUGAAGGGUGGUAGGGAGGAUCUGUGGAUACCGGAAAAUUCUAUUGGUAAAGAAACUAAAUACCUCUUUCUCAAGAGCUCUGGGCACUUAGGGUGGUUUCUGGUUUUUCAUACCCACACCCCACCAGGGCCUCUGGUUGUUCUGGAUUACGCGGCAGGUUGACUUAGUGAUGUGGGAGCCAAGGAACAUUCCAGAGCCGACUGAUGCUGGCAUGAGUCUUUCCCCGUACUCUGCUCUGGAUUCUCUUCAGUCUGGCUGGACUGGGCCCCCAGCACCGGGCGCAGCAGGGCUGCCCUCGUGGGGCUGCAGCAGGUGCGGAGGGUGCUGCUGCCUGACACCCUGCGGCUGGCACCUCCCCAGGAGUACUGCGUAGGCUCUCCCCAUCCAACCGCUCCAUCGAACGACUCAGGGCUGCCCUCCUAGACAAGUGGAGGGCUGCAAGAACUUUUUAUCUCAGUUACCAGAAAGCAAAUUCAGCAUUUUUCUUUCUCUUGACAUCAUUUCCUAAUCAGGUUUAGCUUACGUUUGAGCCCAAGCUUUGAGUAAAAACAGCGCGCGUGCACUUAGCGCUCAGCCAACUCUUCCCUAAGCUUCGGGCGCAGGGGGGCGGGGCGGGGGCGUCUCACCGGCAGAGCCUCCCCCCGCAGAGCCCGGCCUCGGGGAGGAUCUCGGGGAGGGGAGGCGCAGCGGCGGGGGCGAUGAGGAGGACGUGGUGGAGGGGAUCGUCUGAAAUCGUGCUCGUUCCACUCCCGACGUGGCCGCGCCCCACUGCUCGUGGCAGCGGCCCAAGGGUAUAAACGUGUUUUACAAUCAGGGUUGCCAGGGCACCAAACACCCCCGCGGAGAUGAUAAGGGAGCUGGACAGGCUGCAGAGCUCCUGCUGGCAGAAGCGGGCAGGAAGGCACGGCCUGGACCAACUGCUGAUUUCUGAGAAAACAACCCAGAGGCAAUCACACGCCCAACCUUCUAGCAUUACUUAGCGUGAGGUGAUGCCACACAGUGCAAUAUGUCUUCUAGAACACAACUCUGGCCAGGACCCUCAAGCUUGCAAUUGAAGAACUAAUUUCCUCUGACUGAUAAAGCAAACAUUUGGUGCGAUGGCAUCUAGUUUCCUGAAAGUCUGAGAGAUGGGUUGCGAUGCUGGAAUCGAAGUGGUGACAUACUUAUCUGGAGCGGCAAUAGGUUCCCUCAUCCAUGGAGCUGGCUCAGAAGGAUGUAAAGACGCAACGAGUGUGUUCAGGGACUUUCCCCCACUAAAGAUACCACCAAAAUAAUUAUGAGCAGGACAUUUGAGCGGAGAUCACGUUUGGAAUAGUUUUGUAAACGAUUUUAAGGAAGGCCUUUGCUCUCUCUCUUUCAUCUUCCCAGAAUGCUUUUCCUCUCAGUUUGCCUAUCAAAAUCUUACCCAUUCUUUAAAGCUGAGCUCAGAUCUCAUCUUCUGCAUGAGGUCUUUGGAAGAAUAUUUUUUCCAUUGCUCUUUGUACUUCUGCAAUAGCACUCUUAUUAUAGUGAGUUGUCAGCUGUUUCUUUCGCUUGAUAGCAAACUUCUUAAAGGCAAGAAUUAUUUAUGUCUAUAGAUGCUAAGUGAUUAGUUCAGUUAUGUAUAAGUAGAUGUUCAAUAAAUAUCUAUUGAAUGAGCAUAUAUAGCUGCUUCCCCACAGGAGUGUAAGAGUAACUGCGUUGUCUGACUGCAGCAGUUGAAGACUUCCCCAGGGGCAAUGUCUACAGCACAAGAGUGUCUAGAAAAUAGGAAGGACAUGGUCCACACCUCCUGAUGCUUGCUGCUGUCAUUUACACCUGCUUCUCCAUACUGCUGAGUAAUGAGAAAAUCUUUUCUACUUUGUUAUUGCUCUUGCCUUUUUUUCCUCGGGACUAAUAAUUCAUUGGCCAAGCUAAAUGUCAGUCAUCUUUUCCUUCACUCUUUUUCUUCUCUUUCUGGUUCUUCCAUCAUGCCCUCCAAUUUUGGCUUGUUUAGGCAAGAUUAAUGCUCCUGACUACAGGACACUGUUUUCUCUUUGCACAAAUACUGUUCUGAGCAAGGAUCCUAUUUCUUUGGUGGCUUUGUUACAAUCCAGUAACACCUGGGUAUCUAUUUUCCUUACCGGAAAAAUAGCGCUGUCAAGGGAUUCAGUGUGAAACUCCAUACUUAAUGACUAAAGAAGAUAUUGAUUUGAAAUACCAUCUGUUCCAAAUCUGACAUUUUACAUACGAGGAACCUGAGAUCCCACCUGAGAUGGAACAACAGGCAGCUGCUUUGCACAUGAAGAACUUGCAUUUUGCAAGUUGCAGUGUUCUCCCUGCAGAAGAUAUCAAGCUGAUGUAUUAGUGUCUCCCACUCUUUACUCCAAUUUUCUUAUCAGGCAACCAUCAGGUCUAUCAUUGUUUCUUCAUUUGGAGACAGAACUGGU